Long non-coding RNA from Trichomycterus rosablanca, 453 nucleotides. RefSeq lists it as uncharacterized. The record is from RefSeq and is a predicted model, not a curated record. Lineage: Eukaryota; Metazoa; Chordata; Actinopteri; Siluriformes; Trichomycteridae. The transcript is spliced from 3 exons.
GUUUACAGUCACACACUCACAGUUCAUCUAUGUGUUAGAUGCUUCGAUUGAUGUACUCGAUGAAUAUUGUUGCAUCUGAUGGUCUCUGAGACGCUUCCUGUUAAAGAUUGUAACAACUCCAAGAACUGCUGACGAUGGUUUGCAACGCUACAAAGAGCUGAUUAGUCUUCUCAGCGCCAACAGCUUUUUUAAUAUCAGACAGUAGAGUAGCACUGAAAUGACCACCUUUGCCUGGCUGAUUUGGCUUCUGAUCCUUCAUACUUGCAUCCCCUGGGAAAAAUAAAACAACAACAACAUAAAUGAAAUAAAAUACACAUUGUGGCCUAAUUUUUGGAGACACCCAACCCCUAAACAUUAACUCCUGAACAAGCCAGCCCACACUCUGGCACUCUCCACUUUUCCUUUUGAAUAGAACAUGUCUGCAGUAUUUCAAUACAUAUCACAAUUUCAAUA